Molecule: transfer RNA, 74 nt
Filed under: Mus musculus (house mouse)
Lineage: Eukaryota; Metazoa; Chordata; Mammalia; Rodentia; Muridae
Description: tRNA-Ala
Rfam family: tRNA (bases 10-66)
About the family: Transfer RNA (tRNA) molecules are approximately 80 nucleotides in length. Their secondary structure includes four short double-helical elements and three loops (D, anti-codon, and T loops).
Source: RNAcentral
CUUGGGUUAUAGCUUAGUGGUAAAGUGCUUAUCUGGCACGAAAGAGGCUCUAGGUUCAAUUCCCAGCUCUGGGA